CUUGGUUAGCUCAGUUAAUAGCGCUCUCCACUGGAAUUGGAGAGGUCUCUGGUUUGAUACCAGUCACCUAGC
This 72-nucleotide transfer RNA is filed under the name Ixodes scapularis (black-legged tick). Its description in RNAcentral is "tRNA-Ser". The record is from RNAcentral. Lineage: Eukaryota; Metazoa; Arthropoda; Arachnida; Ixodida; Ixodidae.